Molecule: ribosomal RNA, 254 nt
Filed under: uncultured bacterium
Lineage: Bacteria
Description: partial 16S ribosomal RNA
Rfam family: Bacterial small subunit ribosomal RNA
Source: RNAcentral
CACGGGUGAGUAACACGUAUCCAACCUGCCGUCUACUCUUGGACAGCCUUCUGAAAGGAAGAUUAAUACAAGAUGGCAUCAUGAGUCCGCAUGUUCACAUGAUUAAAGGUAUUCCGGUAGACGAUGGGGAUGCGUUCCAUUAGAUAGUAGGCGGGGUAACGGCCCACCAAGCCUUCGAUGGAUAGGGGUUCUGAGAGGAAGGUCCCCCACAUUGGAACUGAGACACGGUCCAAACUCCUACGGGAGGCAGCAUG